UUCCGGUUGAUCCUGCCAGAGGUCACUGCUAUCGGUGUCCGAUUAAGCCAUGCGAGUCGAGAGGUGUAAGACCUCGGCAGACUGCUCAGUAACACGUGGAUAACCUGCCCAAGGGCCCGGGAUAACCCCGGGAAACUGGGGAUAAUACCGGAUGGGUCACCAGUGCUGGAAUGCUUGGUGGUCGAAAGGUGACGCCUUUGGAUGGGUCUGCGGCGGAUUAGGUUGACGCCGGUGUAACGUACCGGCGUGCCUGUAACCCGUACGGGUUGUGGGAGCAAGAGCCCGGAGAUGGAUUCUGAGACACGAAUCCAGGCCCUACGGGGCGCAGCAGGCGCGAAAACUCUACAAUGCAGGCAACUGCGAUAGGGGGACAUCGAGUGGCAUCCACCUUGGGUGUCUGUCCAACCGUCUAAAAAACGGUUGUUAGCAAGGGCCGGGCAAGACCGGUGCCAGCCGCCGCGGUAAUACUGGCGGCUCGAGUGGUGGCCGAUAUUAUUGA
This 499-nucleotide ribosomal RNA is filed under the name uncultured Methanocella sp. Its description in RNAcentral is "bacterial SSU rRNA". It matches the Rfam family "Archaeal small subunit ribosomal RNA", at positions 1 to 507 of the family's 1478-position model. The record is from RNAcentral. Lineage: Archaea; Methanobacteriati; Methanobacteriota; Methanomicrobia; Methanocellales; Methanocellaceae.